This is a long non-coding RNA of Megalobrama amblycephala (Wuchang bream), 448 nucleotides long. RefSeq lists it as uncharacterized. The transcript has 2 exons. The record is from RefSeq and is a predicted model, not a curated record. NCBI's taxonomy places the organism in Eukaryota, Metazoa, Chordata, Actinopteri, Cypriniformes, Xenocyprididae.
UUAGUGAUGUAAAGAUAGGAUUUUUUAUUAUUUUAUCUGUAUCUGCUGCUACUAUGGUGAGAUGAUUUCUUAGGCCUAGCACAGACGAAUGAUAUAAUCAUCAUCAUCAAUCAUCGUCGUUAUCUGGAUACUCGCGGGAGUGGAGCAACUUUUCCAUUAACAAAAUUCUGAUGCUGACCCAGAGGAGGGAGUGGUAGUCCCAGAGAUCCACUGUCCCCAUCAGACAAGAAUCUUAAUUUGUUCAGACACAUCACCUUUGACUGACUGGGAUCUUGAUUUUCAGACACCUGAUAUUAUGCAAAUAUUUUAAAAAUUUUUUUGGAGCUCUAGAUUAAAACAAGACACAGUUCACAAACACACAAGAGGUUGUACUUUAUUCUUAUUAGUCCAUACUGAUCUUGGAUUAGCAUACCAACAACAUAUGAAUGUUAAAGUGAUAGUUCACCCC